RNAcentral lists this ribosomal RNA (540 nucleotides) under Acidovorax sp. enrichment culture. Its description in RNAcentral is "bacterial SSU rRNA". It matches the Rfam family "Bacterial small subunit ribosomal RNA", at positions 374 to 907 of the family's 1533-position model. The record is from RNAcentral. Lineage: Bacteria; Pseudomonadati; Pseudomonadota; Betaproteobacteria; Burkholderiales; Comamonadaceae.
GGCGCAAGCCUGAUCCCGCCAUGCCGCGUGCAGGAUGAAGGCCUUCGGGUUGUAAACUGCUUUUGUACGGAACGAAAAGACUCUGGUUAAUACCUGGGGUCCAUGACGGUACCGUAAGAAUAAGCACCGGCUAACUACGUGCCAGCAGCCGCGGAAAUACUUAGGGUGCGAGCGUUAACCGGAAUUACUGGGCGUAAAGCGUGCGCAGGCGAAUAUGUAACACAGAUGUGAAAUCCCCGGGCUCAACCUGGGAACUGCAUUUGUGACUGCAUACCUGGAAUACGGCAUAGGGGGAUGGAAUUCCGCGGGUAACACUGAAAUGCGUAGAUAUGCGAAGGAACACCGAUGGCGAAGGCAAUCCCCUGGGGCUGUACUGACGCUCAUGCACGAAAACGUGGGGAGCAAACAGGAGUACAUACCCUGGUAAUCCACGCCCUAUACGAUGUCAACUGGUUGUUGGAUCUUCACUGAGUCAUCAACCAAGCUAACGCGUGAAGUUGACCGCCUGGGGAGUACGGCCGCAAGGUUGAAACUCAUAGG